GUUUGUUCGUAGAGCACCUGUGCUGACAAGGACCAUUUAUCAAAAUUAGUUUGGGAAGCAGCUGCACCUAAGCAUUUUCAUGUAAGCAACAGUCUCCGGAGAUUGGGCAACAAAUGAAGCAGAAGGAAGAGUGGAAACCCAAGAAGAUGACCAGAGCCCACCUUGACUUGCAAUGAUUUAGUCAGCAAGUGCUUGGCAUAUUCUGGAAGGCUGUAGAACAAAAGCAAUUUCGUUUUUACCUGAAGCUCUGAAAAACUGGAAGGAAGAAAUAAAGCCCUUGAUAUCAUUCCUGCAUUUGGUGUCUCCAUCUGAUAUGCUGCACAAGUAUCGGAUUGUAUUUCGCAUGGCUUGGAUAAAACUGAUACUUUCCUGAGGUUUUGCUUCCUCCCAUGGAUUCUGACAUUUGAUAUUAAGCCCCCAUCCUGUGUUCAUGGAGUUCACACAGCCUUCCUGAAAGGGUGAUCCAAGGUGGAGAGGGUGCCGUGGGCGAGGACACACACCAGCCCUGAGAGAAAGCCCA
This 520-nucleotide long non-coding RNA is filed under the name Zonotrichia albicollis (white-throated sparrow). RNAcentral describes it as "lncRNA (ENSZALG00000000417.1)". Lineage: Eukaryota; Metazoa; Chordata; Aves; Passeriformes; Passerellidae. The record is from RNAcentral.